This 71-nucleotide transfer RNA is filed under the name Marmota monax (woodchuck). RNAcentral describes it as "tRNA.Ala". It matches the Rfam family "tRNA". From Rfam's summary of the family: Transfer RNA (tRNA) molecules are approximately 80 nucleotides in length. Their secondary structure includes four short double-helical elements and three loops (D, anti-codon, and T loops). Further hydrogen bonds mediate the characteristic L-shaped molecular structure. tRNAs have two regions of fundamental functional importance: the anti-codon, which is responsible for specific mRNA codon recognition, and the 3' end, to which the tRNAs corresponding amino acid is attached (by aminoacyl-tRNA synthetases). tRNAs cope with the degeneracy of the genetic code in two manners: having more than one tRNA (with a specific anti-codon) for a particular amino acid; and 'wobble' base-pairing, i.e. permitting non-standard base-pairing at the 3rd anti-codon position. Lineage: Eukaryota; Metazoa; Chordata; Mammalia; Rodentia; Sciuridae. The record is from RNAcentral.
GGGGUUGUGGCUCAGUGGUAGAGCGCACACCUAGCAUGUGCGAGGCCCUGGGUUCGAUCCCCAACACCACA